This 123-nucleotide transfer RNA is filed under the name Thermoproteota archaeon. RNAcentral's name for it is "tRNA-Asp". Lineage: Archaea; Thermoproteati; Thermoproteota. The record is from RNAcentral.
GCCCGGGUAGUAUAGUCCGGUCUAGUAUGGGGGACUGUCACUCCUUCGACCCGGGUUCGAAAUUCGGCUUUGAGAGGAAGACGAAUAAGAAGAAGAAACCGAACGAACAUCCCGGCCCGGGCG